AAAAUAUCAGGCUGCGAGCAGGCUAACCAUGUAGUUGCUGGGUUUUAUUUGAAACAGUCUGAUUUCCAUAUGGUCGUAACGGUCGUAAACAUUGAGUCACGAUCUUUCUCAUCAGGCGAAAUACAACAUUUUAGAACUGAAAAUACCAACAUUUUAGAACUGAAAAUACAACAUUUUAGAACUGGAAAUACCAACAUUUUAGAACUGGAAAUAGAGAUUAUAACUAGAGAAUACUUAUAGUUUAUAUGUGGUUUACAGGUAUAAACUAUUACAAACUGGCCGUUGACUGUUGUCAGUGUUGUGGCAAAUUGAGAAUGUAGACUUGUAGUUUAAUUUCCUUGCUUCUGUAAGUCAAUUAUCAUUUCCGACGUUGACAAAUUAAGACUUGACCACAUGUGUUCUGCAACGCUGAUUGAAUCUUGGCAAUACUGAUUUGGUCAUAAUCUGAUUAAAUAAUGAG
Molecule: non-coding RNA, 460 nt
Organism: Paramuricea clavata
Lineage: Eukaryota; Metazoa; Cnidaria; Anthozoa; Malacalcyonacea; Plexauridae
Source: the annotation of a GenBank genome assembly